UACGAAGGGGGCUAGCGUUGCUCGGAAUCACUGGGCGUAAAGCGCACGUAGGCGGAUCGUUAAGUCGGGGGUGAAAUCCUGGAGCUCAACUCCAGAACUGCCUCCGAUACUGGCGAUCUUGGAGUCCGGGAGAGGUGAGUGGAACUCCGAGUGUAGAGGUGAAAUUCGUAGAUAUUCGCAAGAACACCAGUGGCGAAGGCGGCUCACUGGCCCGGUACUGACGCUGAGGUGCGAAAGCGUGGGGAGCAAACAGG
This 254-nucleotide ribosomal RNA is filed under the name uncultured bacterium. RNAcentral's name for it is "partial 16S ribosomal RNA". It matches the Rfam family "Bacterial small subunit ribosomal RNA", at positions 524 to 776 of the family's 1533-position model. The record is from RNAcentral.